This 523-nucleotide unclassified non-coding RNA is filed under the name Inula caspica. RNAcentral describes it as "contains 3 external transcribed spacer, ETS". Lineage: Eukaryota; Viridiplantae; Streptophyta; Magnoliopsida; Asterales; Asteraceae. The record is from RNAcentral.
UUGGUAUGUUUCCGGUGGUUGGCUCUCUGCUUUUGCAACAACUUCCACCUGGCAUUCCUUCUCAGGUUUGCGUUAGGGUUGUCCCUUGCGUGCUUUUGGUUAGCUGUGUUGCCUACCUGUGUGACGGUAUUGUUGGAUAAUAUGUCUUGUCUUAUCUUCGCGUCGUACGUCGCGUGGGAUAAGCCUUAAAGUAGAUUCUGUGAUCCACCUUGUUGAUGCGCACGCGUCGAUGUCGUGGCUUAUUGAGUUUUGCUUGUUGUCUUGAAUACAGAACAUGAUAUGGGCUUGGGUCUCAUGCGGACCUUCUUUGCCCUUGUUGAACGUUAUCACAUCUCUAAGAUGACCGCCUAGCCCGAAUUGGCUCGUACCACCGGGUAGGUGAUGUUGUUAAAGAGAAAAUGCUAGCGUUCUUGCUUCUCUAAAACGAACGGCCUCGCCUGCAUGGGCUUGUACCAGCGGGUGGGCUAUGUCGAAGAGGGAUGCUACCUGGUUGAUCCUGCCAGUAGUCAUAUGCUUGUCUCAA